UUAAGUUCAGCGGGUAUCCCUACCUGAUCCGAGGUCAACAUUAUAAAGGAAGGGUUUUUGGUUCGGCGGGACGGGUGACUACGCUUCGCGAUGCAAAAUGCUCACUACGCUGACGUUGACACCGUCGUCCGCCAUUGGAAUUCGGAACGGACCGCCGCGGAGGACGCUCCAGCUCCAAGACAAGCAAUGAUGCUUGAGAG
RNAcentral lists this unclassified non-coding RNA (200 nucleotides) under Pezizomycetes sp. Its description in RNAcentral is "partial internal transcribed spacer 2". Lineage: Eukaryota; Fungi; Ascomycota; Pezizomycetes. The record is from RNAcentral.